AUGGAGAAGGCGACAUGGAGCGUAACGUGCAGGGAGAAGGCAGAGGUGAAGGCCCGGGUGGGGGCCGCUAUGGAGACGCUAGAAGGAGCUUUGAGAGAGUGCUCCAAGCCCUCCUAUGGAGGCGAUAGCCCCGGAUAUGUGGAUGUGGUGCUCGGUGGCCUUCUUCCAUGGCUGUGCGUCACCGAUAAGAGACAACCCAGCGUGAAGACCUUCGACCCUAUCACCACGCCGCUCCUACUAGUGUGGCAGGACCGCUUCUGUUCGUUGAAAAAGGUUCAGGGACUCAUGCUAGAUGUGGGCGAGCUGGUCGACUUAGCCAUGCAGAUGCCUACUCACUGCUCGCGUGAAUCCCUGCAAGUUAUUUUAAUUUUGUCUUCACUUCUUUGGCAAAUUGCGACUUCAUGUAGUAGUUGA
RNAcentral lists this ribosomal RNA (414 nucleotides) under Triticum aestivum (bread wheat). Its description in RNAcentral is "partial small subunit ribosomal RNA". Lineage: Eukaryota; Viridiplantae; Streptophyta; Magnoliopsida; Poales; Poaceae. The record is from RNAcentral.